RNAcentral lists this ribosomal RNA (463 nucleotides) under uncultured Methylococcales bacterium. Its description in RNAcentral is "bacterial SSU rRNA". It matches the Rfam family "Bacterial small subunit ribosomal RNA", at positions 338 to 794 of the family's 1533-position model. The record is from RNAcentral. Lineage: Bacteria; Pseudomonadati; Pseudomonadota; Gammaproteobacteria; Methylococcales.
CCUACGGGAGGCUGCAGUGGGGAAUAUUGGACAAUGGGCGAAAGCCUGAUCCAGCAAUACCGCGUGUGUGAAGAAGGCCUGCGGGUUGUAAAGCACUUUCAAUUGGGAGGAAUACCUAUCCCUUAAUACGGGGUAGACUGACAUUACCUUUAGAAGAAGCACCGGCUAACUCCGUGCCAGCAGCCGCGGUAAUACGGAGGGUGCGAGCGUUAAUCGGAAUUACUGGGCGUAAAGCGUGCGUAGGUGGUUUGUUAAGUCAGAUGUGAAAGCCCUGGGCUCAACCUGGGAACGGCAUUUGAAACUGGCAGACUAGAGUUUAAGAGAGGGGAGUGGAAUUUCAGGUGUAGCGGUGAAAUGCGUAGAGAUCUGAAGGAACACCAGUGGCGAAGGCGGCUCUCUGGACCAACACUGACGCUGAGGCACGAAAGCGUGGGUAGCAAACAGGAUUAGAUACCCCAGUAGU